CGGACCCCCUCUUUUCGUCGCAGUAAACGUCAGGCAGCCACAUGCAAAGCGAAGUCUGCACCAAGGAUACGCCGCACUCCGUUGUUACAUAAGUGGACUACUUCUACUUUCUAUUUUUUUUUUUUGUUUUUUUUUUUCCCUCCACGCUUUUUUUUGUUGUUGGUUUAACCGAACUGUGACACUCUUUUAACUCAAAAUGGAGAACGACGAGAAAUACCUCCCCGAACUGCUGGCGGAAAAGGAUAGCCUGGAUUUGUCGUUCACACACGCCACGAAACUUUUGAACACAGAAAUUGAUAGAAUCCAGAAAGGCGAGACUAAAAAGGAGACAGAAACAUACCUGGAUCUUUUCACAACAAAGAACAUCAAACUUAAGGAACGAGUGCUCAUACCUGUCAAACAGUACCCAAAGUUCAAUUUUGUGGGGAAGAUUUUGGGACCUCAGGGCAAUACAAUCAAACGUCUGCAGGAAGAGACCGGAGCGAAGAUCUCUGUGCUUGGCAAAGGAUCCAUGAGAGACAAAUCUAAGGAGGAGGGGCUGAGGAAAGGUGGGGAGCCCAAGUACGCCCACUUGUCUAUGGAGCUGCACGUGUUUAUCGAGGUGUUUGCCCCGGUACCCGAUGCCUACCUGCGCAUGGCCCAUGCCAUGGAGGAGGUCAAGAAGUUCCUGUUCCCAGAUAUGAUGGAUGAUAUCUGCCAAGAGCAGUUCAUGGAAAUGAGCUACCUGAAUGGAGGCCAGGAGCACGGAGCCCGAGGCCGAGGGGGCAUGCCAGUCAGGGGCCGCGGAGUCCCCCCUUCUGGAACACACAGGGGAAGGGGAAUGCCUCCUCGGGGAGGUGUCACUCGUGGAGGCCCAGGCAGAGGUGGGGCACUGAGGGGUGCUCCAGCAGGCCGAGGCGGACCCCCUGCUGCACCUGCCAGGGGAGCUGUGGCAGCCCGUGCUAGGCCCCCUACUGGCGGCCCCCCCCAGAGAAUGGCAGCCCCCCACCAGCACGCCCCUGCUGCAGCUGCAGAGAACUACGAGGAAUAUGGCUACGAUGAGAGCUACACAGACACAGCCUACGAGUCAUACGACAGCUAUUACAGUCAGCCGCAGGCAGAGCCUGAAUACUAUGACUAUGGACAUGGAGAGACAUCAGAGUCGUACGAAUCCUAUGGUCAAGAUGACUGGAACGGGACCCCGCGGACAGCUCCAGGGAAGGCUCCUCCUGUCUCCAGAGGUGCCAAGACGCCUUAUCGGGAGCACCCAUACAGACAGUACUGAAGCGGACUAAGCACCUUUAAUGUGUCGCCCUGACUACCGCCUGUGUACCACGGCAGCUCUCGCUUUAAGCAGCCCGACAAAAGACCCAGAGGUAAGACCUCUAAAAUAACCUGGAUAGCUUCCUAAUGUGUAUAGAGUUCUAAAGCAUUGAUUGCCUGGGUAUGUAUAAGACUUUUUCAAUCCUCUUACCUGUGGUCGUAAUCGUUAAUGAGAAUUCCUUUUAUAGCAUCUGAAAAUUAACUGAAUUCAAACCACUAUUCAGGUCUAGGCUUCAUUGUCAUGAAUGACCCUGGCGCGAUGGCUACUUUAGUACAGAGUAAUGGCAGUGCAAUGGAGAGGAUGGUUUUAACCUAGAGAACUCCACUGUAAAGGCACAGUUAUCGGUCACUGGGUGCCCCGGAGACUGACAGUUUACUGACGAGAGCCCGUUUGAAACCUCAGUGAAGCCAUACACAGGAGCAACUCACCAUGAAGGAGGUGGUCAGAAGAAGCUCUCUGGGGGAGGUGGGUGGGUGGGGGUGGGGUGGGGGGGGCUGCCCUGUUAUUUUCCUGGCUGUGAGGGGUUGGGCAGGCUGCCAAGUGACCCACAGUUGCCUGUUGAUGUAGUGCGAGGGAGAGGAGCUGGCUCAGACUCCCGCUGGAACACAACUAAGACUGCAGCUGGUCAGUGAAGACAUUAAGCUGGCUGGAUGUCCGGAAUAAUUGGAGACUUCAUGAUUCUCAGUUUCUGUUGAUGCUUUUUUUGUUCUAUUUUUACAUUUCUCAAUAUUGAGUCACAUCGCAUUAGCCCCCCUGUGGUGAUGCGAGGGUCCGACAAGACCACCCAUUCAUCCAAUAAAUGUAACUGUUUCAGUUUAAUUUACCAUAAAAUGAGCCCUCUUGUUAUAACAGGCUGUGAAAUUAUUUUUAAUGUCUAUUAAACUCAGAGUUCGACAAAAAAAUAACGCAAUGCCAGCUUACUUUUUCAUUCGAAAAGAAUUGUGUGACAUCUGUAUUUGAAGGAUUCCAUUUGUUUCCCCCACUAUUGCUGCAUGUUGUGUAGCUUUCAUGCCUUAUUGCUGUGUGAAAUUAGAUUCGCUGCUCAAGAGUUAAGAGAUGCCCGCAAAGUGAGGAUUGCUAUCUUGCUGCGGACGAGUUCACCGCGAGCUCACACAAACACACACACACACGCACUCUGCCACAUCUUGGCAUUGCAUGGCCCGUGUAGCCCCCGAGGAUAUCAAAUGCUAAUUCAGUGGCCUAUUUGCAUGUACUCACAUGUACCCUCACUACAAAUGUGUAACGCUUUCAUAAGCAACACUGGCCUGCUCGAUGCUGUUCGGCAUCCAAGUAUGAUAAUGCAGCGAGAUGGGCCCAGGAGGAGAGCUGCAUGUGAGAAAGGGAUGAAGGGUGAAGACAGACAUUACAACCUCCCCCAGCAUCCAUCAUGCCUCUGUUGAUUUGAUUCCCCUUUAUGCCAUUUUCUACCAUUACCUCUGGUGAUAUUACAGCUGCCUGUGGUGCAGAGUUACAUUUAGAGGUCAAAACUAUACUUUCCUGUAUUAAAAACACAUUUCUCUUCCCCCAACUCACUGGUCAGAUGCAGCAUUAGUCGGAGAAUCCAUUUAGUUUAUUGAAAAUGCUUGCAGCUUAAGAUAGAACAUUAGAUGUUAGGACUGAAACCUCCAUUUGAUAUGAAAUGUCAACGGGCCAUAUCCAAAACAGAUCAUUCUUCAGUCUUUAUGAGCUAUUAUGUCUGAGAUAAUGAUUUCCGUGUCUCCUGUAAUCUAAUGAAAGAUAAGUGAUGGUGUGAAAGCCAUCUCCUCUGCUUUCAUCGAUGAACUGUCAGGAGUGUAAGGAUGGAAAAGAAAGUUAAUGUAACUGUGCUAUGAUCAAUAAAAGUAGACUUGAAUUUAAA
Labrus mixtus (cuckoo wrasse) is the source of this 3161-nucleotide RNA transcript. It is a transcript of the gene named KH domain containing, RNA binding, signal transduction associated 1b, with no coding region annotated. The transcript is spliced from 12 exons. The record is from RefSeq and is a predicted model, not a curated record. NCBI's taxonomy places the organism in Eukaryota, Metazoa, Chordata, Actinopteri, Labriformes, Labridae.